RNAcentral lists this ribosomal RNA (288 nucleotides) under Clostridium saccharobutylicum. Its description in RNAcentral is "partial 23S ribosomal RNA". It matches the Rfam family "Bacterial large subunit ribosomal RNA", at positions 1 to 293 of the family's 2925-position model. The record is from RNAcentral. Lineage: Bacteria; Bacillati; Bacillota; Clostridia; Eubacteriales; Clostridiaceae.
GGUCAAGCUACAAAGGGCGCAUGGUGAAUGCCUUGGCAUCAGGAGCCGAUGAAGGACGUGAUAAGCUGCGAUAAGCUUCGGGUAGGCGCACAUAGCCAGAGAUCCGGAGAUUUCCGAAUGAGGGAACUCACAUGGGAAACCCCAUGUAUCAUAAAGUGAAUACAUAGCUUUAUGAAGGUAAACCUAGGGAACUGAAACAUCUAAGUACCUAGAGGAAGAGAAAGAAAAAUCGAUUUUCUUAGUAGCGGCGAGCGAAAAGGAAAGAGCCCAAACCAGAGAUUUAUCUCU